This is a non-coding RNA of Paramisgurnus dabryanus, 2110 nucleotides long. The record is from RefSeq and is a predicted model, not a curated record. Lineage: Eukaryota; Metazoa; Chordata; Actinopteri; Cypriniformes; Cobitidae.
GACUGAAGUAGUUGUAUAGGGACGGCACUCGUCAAACUUUUAUGACCCCCUCCCCCACCCGGUGACAGUUGCUGUCUGACAGGUCGUUUUUAUGACCCUUUGACAGGGGGGCGGGACCAUCAAUCAAAAUCUGGACAAGUUGUCAACUUUAGACAGAAAGUAUUUAAUGGUUUUAUUGCCGGUCAUUUAGAGUGAUUGUUUUUCCUGAGUGUGUUUUAUGUUAAGCGUAUGGUGUCAUGUUUAAUGACGGCUCGUGUUUCGACAUUUACUGUUUAUUGACAUUUGAUGUCAGAUCUCAACCAUCCUCCCACCUUUGCUCGCCCCGUGCGCUUCUCAAUACUGACUUUCACACCGCGGGUGUGUUGUUGAAUCUAAAGUUUUGCAACAGCAUAAGUUUAUUUAAAGGCAAUCACUAAUCAUAUAUAUAUAUAUAUAUAUAUUAGAUGUACCAGGCUACGCUUAAAGCCGAUGUUUUCUAUCGAGCUAUAGUUUCUGAUCAGACACAAAGUCUGAACUAAAUAAAAUUUUAAACGGUUCACGAAGUCCGGGAAUCUUUUCAUGACCUGGUCUACAGUUUCACGCGUAUUAAAGAUCCGGCGGUGUCUGACAAAGCGUCGGGUGAUUGUUCAUAUCUGUCAUUUAAAAUAAAGUUAAUAAAUGUAAUUCUGUCCACUAUGGCAAAAUAGGAAUUUAUUUUAGAUUUAGGGGAAUCUUUAACCAUGUCUCUGAUUAAAACUUUUGAUUGUAACAUCACAAGUUAUUUAAUUAAAUAUUCUGUAUACGGGUAUAGUUUAAGCAAUGACCUGAGCCAUUACCUUCGGAGCCGUCAAUACUACAUUCUUUAGACGAUAGUCUAAACUAAAUAAAAUUUUUAAACGGUUCAGGAAUUCCGUGAAUCUUUUCAUAACCUGCACUAUAGUUUCACGCGUAUUAAAGAUCCAGCGGUGCCUGACAAAGCGCCGGGUGAGUGUUCAUAUCUGCCAUUUUAAAAUAAUGUUAAUAAAUGUAAUUCUGUCCACUAUGGCAAAAUAGGAUUUUAUUUUAGAUUUAGUGGAAUCUUUAACCAAGUCUCUGAUUAAGACAUGUGUAUACGUGCACAGAUGGUGACAGAGAAACUUAUAUAUGACGUUAAUAAUCUUUUAAAUGUUUUUAAGACGUAUUCACCCCAUUUUGGGGUUUUAUUUUUAAUUAAAGGCUUCUUAAAACAUGUGUGAAUAUGUGUGUAUUAUACAAAGAGUCUUAUAUUGUCUGCUCUGACAAAAAUAAAGUCUUUUUUAGGUUUAGGGGAAUUGACUGCGUGUGUCUUAUAAAUACAACUUGAUAAUAUGUUUGUUUUGUAAAGAGACUUCUUUAAAGUCACGCAAGAAUAAAAUAUUUUAGUUGUAACUGGUUAAACUUAAAGCCGAUAUUUUCUAUCGAACUAGUCUAUUUUCUGUUCAGACACAAAGUUUUCUGAUGCUGAUAUUAUGUCAGUGUGUGUUUGUGUGGGGGUCGUGUGAUGUAAUCUUUGAAAGUUUAUGACCGAACCUUUAUUGGGGAGCGACAAGAGAUCUCCCGGAAUCAGUUUGGAUGGAGCAGAGCUGUUAUACUCAAGUCUGUUGCGAAAUUGUCUAAACUGGUAUUAACUAUUCCUGGUAAAUCGCGGAGAAGAGUGGCCUGAACAAAAAAGUCAGACCGAGACUAGAACCUCCCGCAGCGUAACACGGAAAUCUUGGAACAAAAGAGACGCCGACUGGCUCGUGUUGUCCGGUUUGGAUAUCAGAGGCAAAGCGAACGUUGUGUGUACUAUUGCAAAAUAUAUAGCGGAUCUCCACGGUUAGGAUACAGACCACGACGCUUUGGACGUAUCUUUAAAAAAGAUUAAAAUCAGAGACUUUUUGGAUUUGUCUGGGGACAUUUUAAACAUUUUGUGGCAAAUUGGAUUUAAAACAUUUCGGAUACUGGAUACCUAGUUUGAUUUGUCCACAGAGCUUGUUUAAGACGUUUUCACCGCAUUUUAGGGUUUAUUUUUAAUUAAAGGCUUCUUAAAACAUGUGUGAAAAUGUGUAUAUUAUACAAUGAGUCUUAUAUUGUCUGCUCUGACAUAAAUAAAUUUUUAUAUUAGAUUUUA